RNAcentral lists this long non-coding RNA (638 nucleotides) under Homo sapiens (human). RNAcentral's name for it is "non-protein coding lnc-UBLCP1-12:1". Lineage: Eukaryota; Metazoa; Chordata; Mammalia; Primates; Hominidae. The record is from RNAcentral.
CGAGAAUUCGUUUUAACCUCGUCACUGACUGGACUAGACUGUAAACUCCUUGGCGUCUGGGAUGGCUCAGCCGUGCCCAGCACCAAGUGCAGGCACUCAAACCCCUGUGGAGUGCCUCAGACUACUUCACCAUAGUCAUAAAUCCUGUCACAUCCCAGUGAUGCAGUUCAUGAGUCUCUUAAUCUAGCCUGAACUCUACUUUUGCAUUCAGACAGGCAGGGGAUGCCUCAUCCUUUGAAUACUGGCACAUUAAGAGCAGUGACAUAGGUAAGAACUGAACCCAAGCACUAUAAGAGAGGAUGUUAAGCAAGAUCUAAAAAUCAACGUGAUCAACAAGAGCAGUAAUCUUUUCUUUUCCAAGAAAAAAGAAUGGAAGAAACAGAAGGUACUGGGCGCAAUGUAUUAAACACUGUGUUUUGAAUGACUCGAGAUUCUACGACUGCCUGGAGGGGUUUUGCUGGAUCGGUGCAAUGUCAUGUGAUUAUUGGAAAUUAAUCCCUUUUUUCAAGAAUUUUUCAAGAAUUAGGUUAAGUUAGAUUUGAGCAAACUUAAUUACCUUGCCAGGCAUUUGUUUUUCAGAAACAUAAUAAUCUAUGUAUUUGAUUCAAUUAGUAGUAGGCCCAUGGGUUGUUCUGUAA